RNAcentral lists this ribosomal RNA (771 nucleotides) under Macrotus californicus (California big-eared bat). RNAcentral describes it as "partial 16S ribosomal RNA". The stretch from base 140 to 771 matches the Rfam family "Bacterial large subunit ribosomal RNA", at positions 572 to 1674 of the family's 2925-position model. Lineage: Eukaryota; Metazoa; Chordata; Mammalia; Chiroptera; Phyllostomidae. The record is from RNAcentral.
GCCGGAUUUAGCCCAAACAUAACCUCAACUAACUAUUCUAUAAAACAAAACAUUUACCCCUUGAAGAGUAUAGGAGAUAGAAAUUCUAACCUGGCGCUAUAGAGAAAGUACCGUAAGGGAACAAUGAAAGAAUACCCCUAAAGCAAUAAACAGCAAAGAUUACCCCUUCUACCUUUUGCAUAAUGAUUUAACCAGAAAUAAUCUAGCAAAGAGAACUUAAGUUAGCCACCCCGAAACCAGACGAGCUAUCCACGAGCAGCCCCAACAGAGCAAACUCAUCUAUGUGGCAAAAUAGUGAAAAGACUUAUGGAUAGAGGUGACAAGCCUAUCGAGCCUGGUGAUAGCUGGUUGUCCAGAAAAGAAUCUUAGUUCAGACCUAAGCCUACCUAAAAACCCUAUAAUUUUACUGUAAGCUUAAGUAAUAGUCUAAAAGGGGACAGCCUUUUAGACACAGGAUACAACCUUGACUAGUGAGUAAACAGCAAGAUACACCACAGUAGGCCUAAGAGCAGCCAUCAGUAAAGAAAGCGUUCAAGCUCAACAAUAUUACACCAUUUUAAUCCCAGAGAUUACUAUUAGCUCCUAGCAUAAAACUGGACCACUCUAUAAUAAUAUAGAAGAAAUAAUGUUAAUAUGAGUAACAAGAAACAUUUUCUCCCCGCACAAGUGUAUWUCAGAACGGAUGCCCACUGAUAGUUAACACAACUAAAGAAAAUCUCAUAACAGGAUCUUUACACACCAAAUGUUAACCCGACACAGGAGUGCACUCAA